This 468-nucleotide ribosomal RNA is filed under the name uncultured bacterium. RNAcentral's name for it is "partial 16S ribosomal RNA". It matches the Rfam family "Bacterial small subunit ribosomal RNA", at positions 28 to 507 of the family's 1533-position model. The record is from RNAcentral.
GACGAACGCUGGCGGCGUGCUUAACACAUGCAAGUCGAACGGAAAGGCCCUGCUUUUGUGGGGUGCUCGAGUGGCGAACGGGUGAGUAACACGUGAGUAACCUGCCCUUGACUUUGGGAUAACUUCAGGAAACUGGGGCUAAUACCGGAUAGGAGCUCCUGCUGCAUGGUGGGGGUUGGAAAGUUUCGGCGGUUGGGGAUGGACUCGCGGCUUAUCAGCUUGUUGGUGGGGUAGUGGCUUACCAAGGCUUUGACGGGUAGCCGGCCUGAGAGGGUGACCGGCCACAUUGGGACUGAGAUACGGCCCAGCCUCCUCCGGGAGGCAGCAGUGGGGAAUAUUGCACAAUGGGCGGAAGCCUGAUGCAGCAACGCCGCGUGCGGGAUGACGGCCUUCGGGUUGUAAACCGCUUUCGCCUGUGACGAAGCGUGAGUGACGGUAAUGGGUAAAGAAGCACCGGCUAACUACGUG